Molecule: transfer RNA, 74 nt
Filed under: Treponema sp.
Lineage: Bacteria; Pseudomonadati; Spirochaetota; Spirochaetia; Treponematales; Treponemataceae
Description: tRNA-Val
Rfam family: tRNA
About the family: Transfer RNA (tRNA) molecules are approximately 80 nucleotides in length. Their secondary structure includes four short double-helical elements and three loops (D, anti-codon, and T loops).
Source: RNAcentral
GGGUGCUUGGCUCAGCUGGUUAGAGCGCCACGUUUACACCGUGGAUGUCAGAGGUUCGAAUCCUCUAGCGCCCA